GCUCUGUGAUGAGAAAGAGCCAAAUCUGAGCACCAUAUGAUUAGCCAGUCAUGUGUUGCAUAACUAGACAUGGUUCUGAGA
This is a small nucleolar RNA of Protopterus annectens (West African lungfish), 81 nucleotides long. RefSeq annotates it as small nucleolar RNA U2-19. The transcript has a single exon. The record is from RefSeq and is a predicted model, not a curated record. NCBI's taxonomy places the organism in Eukaryota, Metazoa, Chordata, Ceratodontiformes, Protopteridae.